UACUCCAGCCAGCACCCUCUGGUUUUUGCCU
This 31-nucleotide non-coding RNA is filed under the name Rattus norvegicus (Norway rat). The record is from RNAcentral. Lineage: Eukaryota; Metazoa; Chordata; Mammalia; Rodentia; Muridae.